AGCGUACACGGUGGAUGCCCUGGCAGUCAGAGGCGAUGAAGGGCGUGCUAAUCUGCGAUAAGCGCCGGUAAGGUGAUAUGAACCGUUAUAACCGGCGAUACCCGAAUGGGGAAACCCAGUGUGAUUCGUCACACUAUCAUUAACUGAAUCCAUAGGUUAAUGAGGCGAACCGGGGGAACUGAAACAUCUAAGUACCCCGAGGAAAAGAAAUCAACCGAGAUUCCCCCAGUAGCGGCGAGCGAACGGGGAGGAGCCCAGAGCCUGAAUCAGCAUGUGUGUUAGUGGAAGCGUCUGGAAAGGCGCGCGAUACAGGGUGACAGCCCCGUACACAAAAGCGCAUGUGCUGUGAGCUCGAUGAGUAGGGCGGGACACGUGGUAUCCUGUCUGAAUAUGGGGGGACCAUCCUCCAAGGCUAAAUACUCCUGACUGACCGAUAGUGAACCAGUACCGUGAGGGAAAGGCGAAAAGAACCCCGGCGAGGGGAGUGAAAAAGAACCUGAAACCGUGUACGUACAAGCAGUGGGAGCACAGGUUUACCUGUGUGACUGCGUACCUUUUGUAUAAUGGGUCAGCGACUUAUAUUCUGUAGCAAGGUUAACCGAAUAGGGGAGCCGGAGGGAAACCGAGUCUUAAUUGGGCGUUAAGUUGCAGGGUAUAGACCCGAAACCCGGUGAUCUAGCCAUGGGCAGGUUGAAGGUUGGGUAACACUAACUGGAGGACCGAACCGACUAAUGUUGAAAAAUUAGCGGAUGACCUGUGGCUGGGGGUGAAAGGCCAAUCAAACCGGGAGAUAGCUGGUUCUCCCCGAAAGCUAUUUAGGUAGCGCCUCGUGAAUUCAUCUCCGGGGGUAGAGCACUGUUUCGGCUAGGGGGCCAUCCCGGCUUACCAACCCGAUGCAAACUGCGAAUACCGGAGAAUGUUAUCACGGGAGACACACGGCGGGUGCUAACGUCCGUCGUGAAGAGGGAAACAACCCAGACCGCCAGCUAAGGUCCCAAAGUCAUGGUUAAGUGGGAAACGAUGUGGGAAGGCCCAGACAGCCAGGAUGUUGGCUUAGAAGCAGCCAUCAUUUAAAGAAAGCGUAAUAGCUCACUGGUCGAGUCGGCCUGCGCGGAAGAUGUAACGGGGCUAAACCAUGCACCGAAGCUGCGGCAGCGACGCUGAUGCGUUGUUGGGUAGGGGAGCGUUCUGUAAGCCUGCGAAGGUGGCCUGUGAGGGUUGCUGGAGGUAUCAGAAGUGCGAAUGCUGACAUAAGUAACGAUAAAGCGGGUGAAAAGCCCGCUCGCCGGAAGACCAAGGGUUCCUGUCCAACGUUAAUCGGGGCAGGGUGAGUCGACCCCUAAGGCGAGGCCGAAAGGCGUAGUCGAUGGGAAACGGGUUAAUAUUCCCGUACUUGGUGUUACUGCGAAGGGGGGACGGAGAAGGCUAUGUUGGCCGGGCGACGGUUGUCCCGGUUUAAGCGUGUAGGUGUGUGUUCCAGGUAAAUCCGGUUCACUUUAACACUGAGGCGUGACGACGAGGCACUACGGUGCUGAAGCAACAAAUGCCCUGCUUCCAGGAAAAGCCUCUAAGCAUCAGGUAACAUCAAAUCGUACCCCAAACCGACACAGGUGGUCAGGUAGAGAAUACCAAGGCGCUUGAGAGAACUCGGGUGAAGGAACUAGGCAAAAUGGUGCCGUAACUUCGGGAGAAGGCACGCUGACACGUAGGUGAAGUGAUUUACUCAUGGAGCUGAAGUCAGUCGAAGAUACCAGCUGGCUGCAACUGUUUAUUAAAAACACAGCACUGUGCAAACACGAAAGUGGACGUAUACGGUGUGACGCCUGCCCGGUGCCGGAAGGUUAAUUGAUGGGGUCAGCGCAAGCGAAGCUCCUGAUCGAAGCCCCGGUAAACGGCGGCCGUAACUAUAACGGUCCUAAGGUAGCGAAAUUCCUUGUCGGGUAAGUUCCGACCUGCACGAAUGGCGUAAUGAUGGCCAGGCUGUCUCCACCCGAGACUCAGUGAAAUUGAACUCGCUGUGAAGAUGCAGUGUACCCGCGGCAAGACGGAAAGACCCCGUGAACCUUUACUAUAGCUUGACACUGAACAUUGAGCCUUGAUGUGUAGGAUAGGUGGGAGGCUUUGAAGUGUGGACGCCAGUCUGCAUGGAGCCGACCUUGAAAUACCACCCUUUAAUGUUUGAUGUUCUAACGUGGACCCGUUAUCCGGGUUGCGGACAGUGUCUGGUGGGUAGUUUGACUGGGGCGGUCUCCUCCUAAAGAGUAACGGAGGAGCACGAAGGUUGGCUAAUCCUGGUCGGACAUCAGGAGGUUAGUGCAAUGGCAUAAGCCAGCUUGACUGCGAGCGUGACGGCGCGAGCAGGUGCGAAAGCAGGUCAUAGUGAUCCGGUGGUUCUGAAUGGAAGGGCCAUCGCUCAACGGAUAAAAGGUACUCCGGGGAUAACAGGCUGAUACCGCCCAAGAGUUCAUAUCGACGGCGGUGUUUGGCACCUCGAUGUCGGCUCAUCACAUCCUGGGGCUGAAGUAGGUCCCAAGGGUAUGGCUGUUCGCCAUUUAAAGUGGUACGCGAGCUGGGUUUAGAACGUCGUGAGACAGUUCGGUCCCUAUCUGCCGUGGGCGCUGGAGAACUGAGGGGGGCUGCUCCUAGUACGAGAGGACCGGAGUGGACGCAUCACUGGUGUUCGGGUUGUCAUGCCAAUGGCACUGCCCGGUAGCUAAAUGCGGAAGAGAUAAGUGCUGAAAGCAUCUAAGCACGAAACUUGCCCCGAGAUGAGUUCU
RNAcentral lists this ribosomal RNA (2777 nucleotides) under Salmonella enterica subsp. enterica serovar Saintpaul. RNAcentral's name for it is "bacterial LSU rRNA". It matches the Rfam family "Bacterial large subunit ribosomal RNA". The record is from RNAcentral. Lineage: Bacteria; Pseudomonadati; Pseudomonadota; Gammaproteobacteria; Enterobacterales; Enterobacteriaceae.